CUGGGGAAACCCAGGCUAAUACCGCAUACGUCCUACGGGAGAAAGGGGGCCCCGGCUCCCGCUAUGGGAUGAGCCUAUGUCGGAUUAGCUAGUUGGUGAGGUAACGGCUCACCAAGGCCACGAUCCGUAGCUGGUCUGGGAGGAUGAUCAGCCACAUCGGGACUGAGACACGGCCCGAACUCCUACGGGAGGCAGCAGUGGGGAAUAUUGGACAAUGGGGGCAACCCUGAUCCAGCCAUGCCGCGUGUGUGAAGAAGGCCCUCGGGUUGUAAAGCACUUUCAGCGAGGAAGAACGCCUAGCGGUUAAUACCCGCUAGGAAAGACAUCACUCGCAGAAGAAGCACCGGCUAACUCCGUGCCAGCAGCCGCGGUAAUACGGAGGGUGCAAGCGUUAAUCGGAAUUACUGGGCGUAAAGCGCGCGUAGGUGGCUUGAUAAGCCGGUUGUGAAAGCCCCGGGCUCAACCUGGGAACGGCAUCCGGAACUGUCAAGCUAGAGUGCAGGAGAGGAAGGUAGAAUUCCCGGUGUAGCGGUGAAAUGCGUAGAGAUCGGGAGGAAUACCAGUGGCGAAGGCGGCCUUCUGGACUGACACUGACACUGAGGUGCGAAAGCGUGGGUAGCAAACAGGAUUAGAUACCCUGGUAGUCCACGCCGUAAACGAUGUCGACCAGCCGUUGGGUGCCUAGCGCACUUUGUGGCGAAGUUAACGCGAUAAGUCGACCGCCUGGGGAGUACGGCCGCAAGGUUAAAACUCAAAUGAAUUGACGGGGGCCCGCACAAGCGGUGGAGCAUGUGGUUUAAUUCGAUGCAACGCGAAGAACCUUACCUACUCUUGACAUCCUGCGAAUUUGGUAGAGAUACCUUAGUGCCUUCGGGAACGCAGAGACAGGUGCUGCAUGGCUGUCGUCAGCUCGUGUUGUGAAAUGUUGGGUUAAGUCCCGUAACGAGCGCAACCCUUGUCCUUAUUUGCCAGCGCGUAAUGGCGGGAACUCUAAGGAGACUGCCGGUGACAAACCGGAGGAAGGUGGGGACGACGUCAAGUCAUCAUGGCCCUUACGAGUAGGGCUACACACGUGCUACAAUGGUCGGUACAAAGGGUUGCCAACUCGCGAGAGUGAGCCAAUCCCGAAAAGCCGAUCUCAGUCCGGAUCGGAGUCUGCAACUCGACUCCGUGAAGUCGGAAUCGCUAGUAAUCGUGGAUCAGAAUGCCACGGUGAAUACGUUCCCGGGCCUUGUACAC
RNAcentral lists this ribosomal RNA (1239 nucleotides) under uncultured Halomonas sp. RNAcentral describes it as "bacterial SSU rRNA". It matches the Rfam family "Bacterial small subunit ribosomal RNA", at positions 148 to 1388 of the family's 1533-position model. Lineage: Bacteria; Pseudomonadati; Pseudomonadota; Gammaproteobacteria; Oceanospirillales; Halomonadaceae. The record is from RNAcentral.